UACGAGGGGGCAAAUAUGUUAAAAGAAAAAAAAAGCUAAGUGGAUGGUGGAAAAAAGUGACUAACAAAGUGAAAGCACAUCAAAAUUAUUGCAUUUUUUGGCGACUUAGCAAAUAACAGCAACAACAGUUAGGAAACUAAAUAAAUAGCACAUAAAGAAAUCAAAACAGAUAUUCAUCGUAAUACCCCGCUGGACUUGUACUCAGGGUAUAGCCAGCCAGUGAAAACGGAAAGAGGAAACUGAUCAAGUCGAAAGAUGUUGAUUCAACUGAGGAACCAGCCAUGAAUGAUUGUUGAGGCACGGGAAAUGGCUAAAUGGAAUAACAGUGGUUUGCAGGUAGCAUAAAUAGUAAGCGAACGAGUUGCUUAUAGAAAAAUCAACAAAACACACACAUCAAAUUUCAGGCGUGCAUAAUAUGUGAAAUGUGUGUUCGUUUCCUGAAAAAUAAUAUUUAAACACCGCAAUCCAAUUAAAAUUAUCAAACACGCACGACUUACAUGGCAGUUCAAUUACAGUAUCGCAAAACAAGAAAAUCUGCUAAAGUUUGUAUACGUAGAAACAUUGUGGCGAACAGUGGAA
This is a long non-coding RNA of Drosophila albomicans, 579 nucleotides long. RefSeq lists it as uncharacterized. The transcript has 3 exons. The record is from RefSeq and is a predicted model, not a curated record. Lineage: Eukaryota; Metazoa; Arthropoda; Insecta; Diptera; Drosophilidae.